ASAGGAAGUAAAAGUCGUAACAAGGUUUCCGUAGGUGAACCUGCGGAAGGAUCAUUACCGAGAGAGGGGCGUGCGGUCGCCUGCGGCCCGCGGCCCGGGGGGGUCACUUCCCCCCGACUCUUCAACCCUAUGCGUACCAACCUCUGUUGCUUCGGCGAGCGCCGGGGGGCCUCGUGCGCCCCGGCCCCGGCUUCGGUCGGUGAGUUCUCGCCGAAGACCCAAUUUCAAUCCGUUUGCAGCCCCGUCCGAGCGCACCGAUAAAUCCAAUCAAAACUUUCAACAACGGAUCUCUUGGUUCCGGCAUCGAUGAAGAACGCAGCGAAAUGCGAUAAGUAAUGUGAAUUGCAGAAUUCAGUGAAUCAUCGAAUCUUUGAACGCACAUUGCGCCCCCUGGUAUUCCGGGGGGCAUGCCUGUUCGAGCGUCAUUGCAACCUUCAAGCUAUGCUUGGUAUUGGGCGUUCGCUUCCCCCGCUCCGGGGGUGGCGCGCCUGUAAGUUAGUGGCGACCCCGGGGGACCUCAAGCGUAGUAGAACCUUUUCGCUUGGGAGGUACCACCCGGGGCCCGGCCGUCAACCUUUCCAUCCAUCAAUGAUUGACCUCGGAUCAGGCAGGGAUACCCGCUGAACUUAAGCAUAUCAA
Molecule: ribosomal RNA, 639 nt
Filed under: Flavoplaca navasiana
Lineage: Eukaryota; Fungi; Ascomycota; Lecanoromycetes; Teloschistales; Teloschistaceae
Description: eukaryotic LSU rRNA
Rfam family: 5.8S ribosomal RNA (bases 272-425)
Source: RNAcentral